Molecule: microRNA precursor, 165 nt
Filed under: Setaria italica (foxtail millet)
Lineage: Eukaryota; Viridiplantae; Streptophyta; Magnoliopsida; Poales; Poaceae
Description: MIR2118 microRNA precursor family
Rfam family: MIR2118 microRNA precursor family
Source: Rfam by way of RNAcentral
GCCUAGAAGAGGAAGAAAGAGAGGGCCUAACAGCAGUGGGAAUGGGAAUGUGGGGGAAAGCCUAGCCUGAUUGUUUCCUCAUCGAGGGAUAGUGGAAGCUUGGUUUGGUGCCCUAUCCUUCCCAUUCCUAUUGUUCUUAAGCGUUCUUUCCUCUUCCUUUUGGCU